AACGAACGCUGGCGGCAUGCCUAACACAUGCAAGUCGAACGAGACCUUCGGGUCUAGUGGCGCACGGGUGCGUAACGCGUGGGAACCUGCCCUUAGGUUCGGAAUAACUCCCCGAAAGGGGUGCUAAUACCGGAUAAUGUCUUCGGACCAAAGAUUUAUCGCCUUUGGAUGGGCCCGCGUUGGAUUAGCUAGUUGGUAGGGUAAAAGCCUACCAAGGCGACGAUCCAUAGCUGGUCUGGGAGGAUGAUCAGCCACACUGGGACUGAGACACGGCCCAGACUCCUACGGGAGGCAGCAGUGGGGAAUAUUGGACAAUGGGCGAAAGCCUGAUCCAGCAACGCCGGGUGAGUGAUGAAGGCCUUAGGGUUGUAAAGCUCUUUUACCCGGGAUGAUAAUGACAGUACCGGGAGAAUAAGCUCCGGCUAACUCCGUG
Molecule: ribosomal RNA, 433 nt
Filed under: uncultured bacterium
Lineage: Bacteria
Description: partial 16S ribosomal RNA
Rfam family: Bacterial small subunit ribosomal RNA
Source: RNAcentral